This 431-nucleotide ribosomal RNA is filed under the name uncultured bacterium. RNAcentral describes it as "partial 16S ribosomal RNA". It matches the Rfam family "Bacterial small subunit ribosomal RNA", at positions 30 to 507 of the family's 1533-position model. The record is from RNAcentral.
CGAACGCUGGCGGCAUGCCUAACACAUGCAAGUCGAACGAGACCUUCGGGUCUAGUGGCGCACGGGUGCGUAACGCGUGGGAACCUGCCCUUAGGUUCGGAAUAACUCCCCGAAAGGGGUGCUAAUACCGGAUAAUGUCUUCGGACCAAAGAUUUAUCGCCUUUGGAUGGGCCCGCGUUGGAUUAGCUAGUUGGAAGGGUAAAAGCCUACCAAGGCGACGAUCCAUAGCUGGUCUGAGAGGAUGAUCAGCCACACUGGGACUGAGACACGGCCCAGACUCCUACGGGAGGCAGCAGUGGGGAAUAUUGGACAAUGGGCGAAAGCCUGAUCCAGCAAUGCCGCGUGAGUGAUGAAGGCCUUAGGGUUGUAAAGCUCUUUUACCCGGGAUGAUAAUGACAGUACCGGGAGAAUAAGCUCCGGCUAACUCCGUG